RNAcentral lists this ribosomal RNA (295 nucleotides) under uncultured Alphaproteobacteria bacterium. Its description in RNAcentral is "partial 16S ribosomal RNA". It matches the Rfam family "Bacterial small subunit ribosomal RNA", at positions 1102 to 1397 of the family's 1533-position model. Lineage: Bacteria; Pseudomonadati; Pseudomonadota; Alphaproteobacteria. The record is from RNAcentral.
CCCUCGCCUUUAGUUGCCAGCAUGUUGGGGUGGGCACUCUAAAGGAACUGCCGGUGACAAGCCGGAGGAAGGUGGGGAUGACGUCAAGUCCUCAUGGCCCUUAUGUCCUGGGCUACACACGUGCUACAAUGGCGGUGACAGUGGGAGGCUAGGUCGCGAGGCCGUGCUGAUCUCUAAAAGCCGUCUCAGUUCAGAUUGCACUCUGCAACUCGGGUGCAUGAAGGUGGAAUCGCUAGUAAUCGCGGAUCAGCAUGCCGCGGUGAAUACGUUCCCGGGCCUUGCACACACCGCCCGU